RNAcentral lists this long non-coding RNA (847 nucleotides) under Struthio camelus australis. Its description in RNAcentral is "lncRNA (ENSSCUG00000006401.1)". The record is from RNAcentral. Lineage: Eukaryota; Metazoa; Chordata; Aves; Struthioniformes; Struthionidae.
GCUGGUUACCAUGCAGGUAACCAUGAUUCUUGUUCAAUUUCCUUGCUCAGAUUGACUCCUAUUCCUUUCUGAAAAAGAACUGAUGCCAAAACCACAGGAAUAAAUCUCUUAGGGGAGGACAGCAGCUUGGUUUGGCCAUUGUCUGGCUGACAGCGGAGCCAAAGCCUUCAGGGCUAAGCUAGUACACAGAGUAGAUCUGGAGGAAUUUCCGCGCUGGAGCAGACCCAAAGUCCAUCUAGAGAACAGCUCUGUACAAUUGGCAUACGGUGAUGAGUGAAACUGGAGCUUCAGCAAGUUUGUCCGAGACGGAGAACCAGUCUCAAUGUCUUCCUGAAAAGGACUGCUUUUGCUCAGCUCCCUUUGCUGCAGCGCCACCUCCCUUGUUCUGAUCCGAUAAAAGUCUUCUGUCUGUACCAUAAAAACCUGGAAUCCUGCGGAAAUGCUGAACGCAAAGCACUUAAAACUGCGCACGUGUACCCAAGUCGGAGGAGUAGAACAUGGUUACUAACAGCCAGCCACGCUACAGUCAUUGAAAGGUGUUUUGACAAGAGGUUUGCUAUAUCACUGAUAUGAUAAACAAUGAGGAACUGAGCUUCCCAGCCUCAGACACGCCAAUCCCCAGAAUCCUAAACUGUUGGUAGCACCACCAACAAUACAGGGGAAAACAAAGAUUGUUCCAAUAGGUGUAUGUUUACUUUUUCUUUAACUUCAGUUGGUUUUAUUUCUGCACCCAACCUGUUUGAUGGGUGGGAAUUUUAUGAUCCAUCAGGAAGAAUCCAUUUGACAGUACUUUCUAGGAGCACUGCUUUUGUUUUCUUAUUUUGAUCAUGAUCCUGCAAAGCCUUUC